CCCCCCCCUCCUCCUCCGUUUUUUUCUUGGCCUUUCCACCAUCGAUAGAAGUUACUUGAUCGUUUCCUCGACUCAGCCAACUUUUAUGUUUAUUUUGGUCGCGUGAGAGGACGGAGUAGCAACAAGAGCGAGGAUGAGCGGGAUAAUUAAAGGAAGGAAGAGAAUGGCUGUGGAAGUAAAGAAAUAGGACGCUACGAAUGGUUUGAGGGAGAGAAAAGAACGGUAGUAAACGGUAGGGAAAGGAAAGUGGUGAGGAGGAGUGGGGAUUAAAAUGAAGGAGAGGGAAGGAAGGAAAGAGGUAGAAAGACAGAGAGGAAAUAAACACUACCAAUGGCUUAAAGGAAAGAAAAAGACGGUAGAGAGUGACGGAGAGGCAAGAACGAACUAAGGGAUGUAAGGAAAAGAAGAAGGAAGAGGAUGACGAAAUGGCUGAAGGGGAAAGAAAUGAUUGGUGAAAACGGUGGAAAAGGCAAGGAGGAAGAAAGGGGAUUAUAGGAAGGAAGAGAAAGGGAAUACAAGAAGAUAGCAACUGGUAAAUACGAAUGGAGUGAGAAAGAAGAAAAGAGCGAUAGUAAAAGAUAGUAAAGGAAAUCAGAAGCUUGAAUAGGCAAAUUAGAGGAGGGUGGGAGAGAGAGAGAGGGAGGGAGGAAGUGGGUGGGAGGUGUUAAGAGAAGAGGAGAAGUGUGUGUGUGUGUGUGUGUGUGACUUGUAUACAUCCUAAGAUUUCUACCAGCACUACUACUACUACUACUACCACUACUACUCAAGGCCUCCGUGUGACCUCCCUCUUCCGUGCCAGACUCCGAUAUCGACUCGUCUGACCGUCCUCGCCCUCCCUCCCUCCCCUCCUCUAACACUCUUCCCUUCAUUUCCUCUCUCCCCUCGCUCUCAUUCUUCGGCGACUCGCUUUCCUCCUUCCUUGUUCCCCUGUCGAGCUGCAGCGUUUAAUCAGGCGAAGAGGAGGAAAUGCGACACUAAAUAUUUAUGGAGGCGGAGCUAUUUUAUGCAGACGCCUAUUAUUAGCUUUGGACAGGAAGGGAAUAGUAUGUACAUGACAGAUUGUGAAUAUAUACACACACAUAUUUUUUGGAGCUAUUUCCAGACGCCUUUCCUUUCCUCUCCUCAGGUAUACGAUGUUGAUAUAAUUAGAUGCAGUGUUGUUAUUAUUAAUCGUUAAAUAUUAUGAUGCUUGUAGAGUUUAAUUUUGCGAGGAAAGGAAAUAAGAAAGAGAGGGAAGGACAGAGAGAUGGAGAAGGAAGGAAAAGAAAGGAGGGAAAGAGAAAGGACAAGGAUGGGGAAGGAAAGAGAGGAGGGAGGGAUGGAAGGUCAAGGAGGGAUAGAGGGAAGGGCAGAGGGAGGGGGAAGAAAAGGAAAGGAAAGGAGGGAAGGAUGGACAGUGGAUGCGUGGAGGAUGUGGAUGGAGUGGAUGGUCGGGUAAUGCUAGAGUGGAUGAAAUAUAGAUAGACGGCCUGUUAUAUGGAUGUAGUGUGGAGUCUUUGAGGGUAAUCUAAAAAAAAAAAUGUGUGGCUUGCUUGGAUGAUGAAUACCGAGAAGUGGAUAUAAGGUGUGGUGGAGGGCCAGGGUGGAAGUAGCCAUUUUGGAGGACCCGCUAAAUGGAAGGGAUGUGGAGUGUUGGAAGAUGGGCGUCUGGAUGCUGGGAUGGAGAGGGAGAGAGUCUUGGGAUGUGGCAGGAAACGAGGCUCAGAAGGGAUGUGGAGUAUCUCAAGAUGGGGGUCUGGAUAUUAGUAUGGAAAGAGAGAGUGUGUGUAUGAGAUGUGUCAGUCAGGUGUGUGUAAGGGCUGGCGCUAGGCUGUUGUUUGGCCCAGGAGGCGGACACAUCGUUAAGGACAGGACCUUCAUUCUUCAGGUAGCGACUUAGCAGAUGUGCGUGCCGAUACACAAGGGCUCAGCAGGCAGGGAAAAGUUUCACUUAUUCUUGGCUACGCGACGGGGAGGGAGGGAAGGAAGGAUAGAGGGAUGGAAAGGGACAGAGGAAGGAAGGAAGGAGGGAUAGGACAGAAGGAGAGGGAAAGAAAGGAAGGGAGGGAGGGCACGAUGGGUAAAGGGAAAAGCAGAGGAAUAGGGAAGGAAGCAAAGGAAAGGAAGGAGGAAAGGACAGAGAUAGAGGAAGGAAGCAAAGGAAGGAAAAAGAAAGGAAAGGAAGGAGGGAGGGAUAGAGGGUUGGAAGGAACAGAAAGACAAAGGGAUGGGGAAGGAAGAAAGGGAAAGGAAAGGAGAAAGGGAGGGACAGAGGAAAGGACGAGGAGGGAGGGAUGAAGUAGCGGCGACCGUCUCCCUUGUUUCUGGGGGAAGACAAAGCAAUAACAGUCACCACGAGGGAAACUUUAGCUGUUCCUCAGACUUUUUGCCUCGUCUAUACUUUCCCGAGCGGCGGAGGUUUGGGUGAGGGCUACGGUGCUGCGGGUCUGUCUGUCCGUCUGUCUGUCCUCGCGAAGGCUUCACCGAGCACGCCUUCCUACUGCCCAUCUUCGACCCAGCCACUGUUAUUGGCGUGUGAAGUGUGUCCACGGGUGUCACAUGGCGUGGCCCUCUCCCCCCGGCCGGCCAGAAUCACGGCUACUCCUGCCACCCCCACGUUAGGCUGUCUCGCGGGCUGAAGGGUAUUGUAGUCCUCCCCUGACAGGCCCUCCGUUCGCCUAGGGCCGCCGCCGCCUGGAACCACCACCAUCACCGCCACCGCCAGUCCUUCCCCCGCCGCCGUCCACGUCCCAGCCCGGGUACCACGAGCCACGCGGCGGGACAGGUGGCAACAAACAGGUCAGGUGAGGCGGCGGCGGGUCCGGUGCCUCCUCGUUAUUUAUGUGUCGUUUUUGCCUCCCCCCUCGACCUUUGCUUGGCUAAACGGCUUUGUCUGAUCCCCGUCGCGGCGCCCCCGUCUUGCAGGGCUGCUGGCGGCGGGUAGCACAGCCUCGCCUCCGCUGAUCCGCACAGUUUAUUUGCAGCAGGUGCAUUGCCCUUCUGGGAGACGACGGGGAGCUGGGGUAGCUGGCUGGCUGGGCGGAAGGGGGGUAGGGGGGCCGCAGGCUGGCUGGCUGUUUGACAUUUUUCAGCCGUGAGAGCCGGGAUGCAGAAAACAAAAUGGCGGCGGGUGUGCAUUCGCAGGUGUGGCCGGGGAGUUGCGAGGCCAGAGUGGCUGCAUUCUCGAUUGAUUUUUAUGGCCCUGUUUUGCUCUUUUGCCGCCGUGUUCCUUUGUUUGGCGAGGGUGUCAGGCCGGCAUCUGUCAGCCGCCGCGCCGCCGGGAGUCAACCAUGCACAGGCGCGCCGCAGAGACGACCGAGCGAGUAUUUCCUGCAGACGAGACACAGACAGAAGCUGCUGCACCCUUCCCUGCCCGGCCGCCUCCCUCCUCUCCCGGCCUGUCUCCUGCACCUCUAUUCUGGCUCCGCGAUAACCUGGCACUGAUAAUGGCGGCGCUAGGCAAGCACACACACACACACAGACAGACACACACACACCACGACGCAUCUCUCCUCUCCCGUUCCUCCUCCUCCUCCUCCUCCUUCUCACCCUUGAAACGUCUCCUAUCCUCACCUCUCUUCUCUCCCUCACACAGUUGACAUCACCCUCUCCCUUCCUUUUUCCUCCAAACCGUGGCCUUUCUCCUCCCUCCCUCCCUUCCUUCCUCUCUCUACUUCCUUCCUCCCUCCCUCCCACCUCUCUCAACUCUCUGCCUUUCAUGUAAAAAAUAAAGUUUUCUCUCACCCUUUUCUUCACGGCCCAUUCAGACAGCCUUGCAUCUCCCCUUACGAAGACUGCUCUCUCUCUCUCUCUCUCUCUCUCUCUCUCUCUCUCUCUCUGAUGUGUCUAGCUACAGUUUUGGUCCCUUAGAAAACUGGAAACUGAGAAUGAGGGGAGGAAGAAGAUUGGAGAAGAGUAGGAAUAGGAGGGAGCAGAGGAGCCGGAGGAGGAUGAAUAUGAAGAAGAGGAUGAUGAGGAGGAGGAGGAGCAAGAGGAAUAAAAGGAAAGAAAAAAAAGCAAAAAAAAUGUAAACAAAUAAGGAAAAGGCGAGGAACAGCAAAUAGGAGGAGGAGGAGGAGGAGGAAGAUGAUAAAGAGGAGUAAGAGGAGGAAGAAGAUACGAAUAAAAGCAAGAAAGGAGGAGAGAGGAAUAGGAGGAUGAGGAGAAAGAGAGAAAAAGAAGAGCUAGAAAAAUAUGACCAGAACGAAAAAGAAGAACACCAAGGAGGAAGAGGAGGAGGAGGAGGCAAGUCACAAAGGAAAAAGAGGAACAAGAGGAUGAAGAGGAUAAGAUAAAAACGAAGAUUAAAUAAAAAUAGAAGAAAAAAAACGAAGAAUACCAAGACGGCUGAGGACAAGGAGGAGAAGAAAGGAGGAAAAGGAGAGCAAGAAAGGAGGAGACAGAGAGAAGAGGAUGAGGAUGGAGAGAGAAAAAAAACAAGCAGGAAAAAGAUGAAGAGGACGAAAAGAUGAAGAAUGCCAAGCCAACUAUGGAGGAGGAAGAGAAGACCGAGGAGGAGGAGGAGUCUACCAGCACGUGAGGCGGUGGUCGGUCGGAAGGUCGGGUACACACACCACUGGACUCACGGGCUAGCGCAGUGACCUUUGUGGGCGGUGAUAAGCGUGAGUGUUUGCGAUGCUGGUGGUGGUGGUGGUGGUCCGGCUUGGCUCCUUCCUCCUCCCUUACGUAACACUAAACCAACACCACCACCAUCACUACCACCACCGACCCUUGCUCUCUCUCUCUCUCUCUCUCUCUCUCUCUCUCUCUUGUGUACCCAUCUAUCUAUCUACGUGUGAGGGAAUGUAACAUGGAUAGUAGUAGUAGUAGUAGUAGUAGUAGUAGUAGUGUAGACAAAGACGUAGUGAAUCUGCAGAGAGAGAGAGAGAGAGAGAGAGAGAGAGAGAGAGAGAGAGAGAGAGAGAGAGAGAGAGAGAGAGAGAGAGAA
Long non-coding RNA from Eriocheir sinensis (Chinese mitten crab), 4927 nucleotides. RefSeq lists it as uncharacterized. The transcript is spliced from 2 exons. The record is from RefSeq and is a predicted model, not a curated record. NCBI's taxonomy places the organism in Eukaryota, Metazoa, Arthropoda, Malacostraca, Decapoda, Varunidae.